GCCACCGUAGCUCAGCGGUAGAGCAGCCGAUUCGUAAUCGGCAGGUCGACGGUUCAAAUCCGCCCGGUGGCUCCA
Molecule: transfer RNA, 75 nt
Filed under: Thermoanaerobaculia bacterium
Lineage: Bacteria; Pseudomonadati; Acidobacteriota; Thermoanaerobaculia
Also listed under: 2 other names
Description: tRNA-Thr
Rfam family: tRNA
About the family: Transfer RNA (tRNA) molecules are approximately 80 nucleotides in length. Their secondary structure includes four short double-helical elements and three loops (D, anti-codon, and T loops).
Source: RNAcentral